AUCUGUUGCCAUACCACCCCGAACACACCCAAUUUCAUCUGAUCUUGGAAGUUAAGCAGGGUCAGGCCUGGUUAGUACUUGGAUGGGAAACUACCUGGGAAUACCAGGUGCUAUAGGCU
This 119-nucleotide ribosomal RNA is filed under the name Propithecus coquereli (Coquerel's sifaka). Lineage: Eukaryota; Metazoa; Chordata; Mammalia; Primates; Indriidae. The record is from RNAcentral.